UACCAGCUCUCCGAGUAGUGUGGAUGUUUAUUGGGCCUAAAGCAUCCGUAGCUUGCUAAGCAAGUCCCCUGUUAAAUCCACCGAUUUAAUCGUUGGAUUGCGGGGGAUACUGUUUGGCUAGGGGACGGGAGAGGCCGACGGUAUUUCCGGGGUAGGGGUGAAAUCCUAUAAUCCCGGGAAGACCACCAGUGGCGAAGGCUGUCGGCUAGAACGCGCCCGACGGUGAGGGAUGAAAGCUGGGGGAGCGAACCGGAUUAGAUACCCGGGUAGUCCCAGCUGUAAACGAUGCAGGCUAGGUGUUUGGGCGGCCACGAGCCGCCCUAGUGCCGCAGGGAAGCUGUUAAGCCUGCCGCCUGGGGAGUACGGCCGCAAGGCUGAAACUUAAAGGAAUUGGCGGGGGAGCACCACAAGGGGUGAAGCUUGCGGUUU
Molecule: ribosomal RNA, 429 nt
Filed under: uncultured archaeon
Lineage: Archaea
Description: bacterial SSU rRNA
Rfam family: Archaeal small subunit ribosomal RNA
Source: RNAcentral